This 465-nucleotide ribosomal RNA is filed under the name uncultured bacterium. RNAcentral describes it as "partial 16S ribosomal RNA". It matches the Rfam family "Bacterial small subunit ribosomal RNA", at positions 28 to 507 of the family's 1533-position model. The record is from RNAcentral.
GACGAACGCUGGCGGCGUGCUUAACACAUGCAAGUCGAACGGAAAGGCCCUGCUUGCAGGGUACUCGAGUGGCGAACGGGUGAGUAACACGUGGGUGAUCUGCCCUGCACUUCGGGAUAAGCCUGGGAAACUGUGUCUAAUACCGGAUAGGAGCCAUUUUUAGUGUGAUGGUUGGAAAGUUUUUUCGGUGUAGGAUGAGCUCGCGGCCUAUCAGCUUGUUGGUGGGGUAAUGGCCUACCAAGGCGGCGACGGGUAGCCGGCCUGGGAGGGUGGACGGCCACAUUGGGACUGAGAUACGGCCCAGACUCCUACGGGAGGCAGCAGUGGGGAAUAUUGCACAAUGGGCGCAAGCCUGAUGCAGCGACGCCGCGUGGGGGAUGACGGCCUUCGGGUUGUAAACUCCUUUCGCUAGGGACGAAGCUUUUUGUGACGGUACCUAGAGAAGAGGCACCGGCUAACUACGUG